Molecule: ribosomal RNA, 953 nt
Filed under: Latilactobacillus sakei
Lineage: Bacteria; Bacillati; Bacillota; Bacilli; Lactobacillales; Lactobacillaceae
Description: bacterial SSU rRNA
Rfam family: Bacterial small subunit ribosomal RNA
Source: RNAcentral
GCAUGGCAGUCGAACGCACUCUCGUUUAGAUUGAAGGAGCUUGCUCCUGAUUGAUAAACAUUUGAGUGAGUGGCGGACGGGUGAGUAACACGUGGGUAACCUGCCCUAAAGUGGGGGAUAACAUUUGGAAACAGAUGCUAAUACCGCAUAAAACCUAACACCGCAUGGUGUAGGGUUGAAAGAUGGUUUCGGCUAUCACUUUAGGAUGGACCCGCGGUGCAUUAGUUAGUUGGUGAGGUAAAGGCUCACCAAGACCGUGAUGCAUAGCCGACCUGAGAGGGUAAUCGGCCACACUGGGACUGAGACACGGCCCAGACUCCUACGGGAGGCAGCAGUAGGGAAUCUUCCACAAUGGACGAAAGUCUGAUGGAGCAACGCCGCGUGAGUGAAGAAGGUUUUCGGAUCGUAAAACUCUGUUGUUGGAGAAGAAUGUAUCUGAUAGUAACUGAUCAGGUAGUGACGGUAUCCAACCAGAAAGCCACGGCUAACUACGUGCCAGCAGCCGCGGUAAUACGUAGGUGGCAAGCGUUGUCCGGAUUUAUUGGGCGUAAAGCGAGCGCAGGCGGUUUCUUAAGUCUGAUGUGAAAGCCUUCGGCUCAACCGAAGAAGUGCAUCGGAAACUGGGAAACUUGAGUGCAGAAGAGGACAGUGGAACUCCAUGUGUAGCGGUGAAAUGCGUAGAUAUAUGGAAGAACACCAGUGGCGAAGGCGGCUGUCUGGUCUGUAACUGACGCUGAGGCUCGAAAGCAUGGGUAGCAAACAGGAUUAGAUACCCUGGUAGUCCAUGCCGUAAACGAUGAGUGCUAGGUGUUGGAGGGUUUCCGCUCUUCAGUGCCGCAGCUAACGCAUUAAGCACUCCGCCUGGGGAGUACGACCGCAAGGUUGAAACUCAAAGGAAUUGACGGGGGCCCGCACAAGCGGUGGAGCAUGUGGUUUAAUUCUAAGCACCGCGA